This 72-nucleotide transfer RNA is filed under the name Chitinophagales bacterium. RNAcentral's name for it is "tRNA-Phe". It matches the Rfam family "tRNA". From Rfam's summary of the family: Transfer RNA (tRNA) molecules are approximately 80 nucleotides in length. The record is from RNAcentral. Lineage: Bacteria; Pseudomonadati; Bacteroidota; Chitinophagia; Chitinophagales.
GGUAGCGUAGCUCAAUUGGUAGAGCGCCAGUGUGAAGUGCUGGGUGAGUUGGUUCGAUCCCAUCCGUUACCA